GGGGAAUCUUGCGCAAUGGGCGAAAGCCUGACGCAGCAACGCCGCGUGAGCGAAGAAGGCCUUCGGGUUGUAAAGCUCUGUCAGGAGGGACGAAGCCACUCGGGUUAAUAGCCCAGAGGGUGACGGUACCUCCAGAGGAAGCCCCGGCUAACUACGUGCCAGCAGCCGCGGUAAUACGUAGGGGGCAAGCGUUGUCCGGAAUCAUUGGGCGUAAAGCGCGUGUAGGCGGCCGGCCAAGUCCGAUGUGAAAGCUCGGGGCUCAACCCCGAGUCUGCAUUGGAAACUGGUCGGCUUGAGUCCGGAAGAGGAGACUGGAAUUCCCGGUGUAGCGGUGAAAUGCGCAGAUAUCAGGAAGAACACCGGUGGCGAAGGCGGGUCUCUGGGACGGUACUGACGCUGAGACGCGAAAGCGUGGGGAGCAAAC
Molecule: ribosomal RNA, 424 nt
Filed under: uncultured bacterium
Lineage: Bacteria
Description: bacterial SSU rRNA
Rfam family: Bacterial small subunit ribosomal RNA
Source: RNAcentral